MicroRNA precursor from Schistosoma mansoni, 78 nucleotides. It matches the Rfam family "mir-3492 microRNA precursor family". The record is from Rfam. Lineage: Eukaryota; Metazoa; Platyhelminthes; Trematoda; Strigeidida; Schistosomatidae.
AGCCUUCUGUAACUGUGCUGAGAUUUCGUCACACAUCAGACCACAAGGGCUGAUGAGACUCACAAGAUAAGUGAAGCG